This is a long non-coding RNA of Neodiprion virginianus, 697 nucleotides long. RefSeq lists it as uncharacterized. Lineage: Eukaryota; Metazoa; Arthropoda; Insecta; Hymenoptera; Diprionidae. The transcript has 3 exons. The record is from RefSeq and is a predicted model, not a curated record.
ACACUGCCGAAUGCCACCACGCGCGCGUUAUUUUCACCGACUACUGUGGUAGGGUUAGAGAACACGGAAAAAUUUACCAAGCUGAUUCCAAUAUCUCGUCAACCAGGAUUUUAUCACAAUAAUUUAGGAGCUUACGAUUCGACGUCGAUUCGAACCGCGUGUAGCAGCACCGUUCGUCUACGAAUUGAUAACUGGCGUUCAUUGAAAAACAUAAACACGGAUACCCCUGCGCGAAUUUUUGUGAUCAGUUUUCGGCGGCAAGUGGGCCCUGGUGGGCCUGGGAGCGUGAGAGGGUUCUGCUCGAUCCACUCUACCUAACGAACUCGCACAAUCAUUCGUAGCAGCAAAAAUAGUGUCUGUAUGAAAGCUUGAGAUGAGCGGGUAGAGAGUCAGUACGUAUGACUACUUGUCAACUGCGACUUCGAAAUGUGGAUCAGCUCGAUCAUCCCCGUGAGAAGAGAGUACCCGCGUCCACCGCCAACAACCCCCAACUACCUCUGAGCACCUCGAACCACCUCCGACCACCUUCGUCCUCCUCGGCCACCUCGUCCCCCUCCUCAUCUUCCCCCUUGUCGUCCGCGUCCUCAUUAACCACCUCUGAUCACCACCAACCACCUCAAAAUACCUACCGCCUCCAAACAUUUGAUGGCAAUUUACUCGGGGUAUAACCCGAGGUGGUUGGCGGUGGUCGUCGGAG